AAUCUUCGGCAAUGGACGAAAGUCUGACCGAGCAACGCCGCGUGAGGGAUGAAGGUCUUCGGAUCGUAAACCUUUGUCUUCAGGGACGAUAAUGACGGUACCUGAGGAGGAAGCCACGGCUAACUACGUGCCAGCAGCCGCGGUAAUACGUAGGUGGCGAGCGUUGUCCGGAAUUACUGGGUGUAAAGGGCGUGUAGGCGGGAGAGUAAGUCAGAUGUGAAAUACCGGAGCUUAACUCCGGGGGUGCAUCUGAAACUGUUUUUCUUGAGUGCUGGAGAGGAAAGCGGAAUUCCUAGUGUAGCGGUGAAAUGCGUAGAUAUUAGGAGGAACACCAGUGGCGAAGGCGGCUUUCUGGACAGUAACUGACGCUGAGGCGCGAAAGCGUGGGGAGCAAACAGG
Molecule: ribosomal RNA, 399 nt
Filed under: uncultured bacterium
Lineage: Bacteria
Description: partial 16S ribosomal RNA
Rfam family: Bacterial small subunit ribosomal RNA
Source: RNAcentral